GGGAUCGUAGCGGAGGACAUAUCGGUAAGCGGAGGAGCAUAUCAAUAAGCGGAGGAGCAUAUCAAUAAGCGGAGGACCCUAUCGCCGGGGGGCUUCUGCCCCCGGGUCCGCGCGCACCGGAGACACCAUUGAACUCUGUCUGAAGAUUGCAGUCUGAGCAUAAACUAAAUAAGUUAAAACUUUCAACAACGGAUCUCUUGGUUCCGGCAUCGAUGAAGAACGCAGCGAAAUGCGAUAACUAAUGUGAAUUGCAGAAUUCAGUGAAUCAUCGAGUCUUUGAACGCACAUUGCGCCCCCUGGUAUUCCGGGGGGCAUGCCUGUCCGAGCGUCAUUGCUGCCCUCAAGCACGGCUUGUGUGUUGGGCUCCGUCCCCCCGGGGACGGGUCCGAAAGGCAGCGGCGGCACCGAGUCCGGUCCUCGAGCGUAUGGGGCUUUGUCACCCGCUCUGUAGGCCCGGCCGGCGCCAGCCGACAACCAAUCAUCCUUUUUUCAGGUUGACCUCGGAUCAGGUAGGGAUACCCGCUGAACUUAAGCAUAUCAAUAAGCGGAGGAAA
Molecule: ribosomal RNA, 554 nt
Filed under: Penicillium thomii
Lineage: Eukaryota; Fungi; Ascomycota; Eurotiomycetes; Eurotiales; Aspergillaceae
Description: eukaryotic LSU rRNA
Rfam family: 5.8S ribosomal RNA (bases 178-331)
Source: RNAcentral